AGCUCCAAUAGCAUAUAUUAAAGUUGUUGCAGUUAAAAAGCUCGUAGUUGGAUUUUAGAGUUCGCUUUAGUAGAGUCCGCUUGAAUGAGUGUGUAUUUUACUGGUGGCUCUCCUUACUAGACAUUCACGGUCAUUCUUAACUGAGUGGUUGGUCUUGCUCGCAAGGGUGAGGUGCUCAGUGGGUCUGGGGGUUGAGAUGUGGUUUCUUUACGGGGCAACCUGUGGGGAAAUCUGCUUGGCUCACUUCCAUCGAGUAGGAUUCUAGUUCAUUUACUUUGAGUAAAUUAGAGUGUUCAAAGCAAACGUACAAACUUGUAAUGAAUACUAUUAGCAUGGGAUAAUGGAACAGGACGUUGGUUCUAUUUUAUUGGUUUCUAGAACUAAUGUAAUGAUUAAAAGGGAUAGUUGGGGGCAUUAGUAUUUAAUUGUCAGAGGUGAAAUUCUUGGAUUUAUGAAAGACUAACUUCUGCGAAAGCAUUUGUCAAGGAUGUUUUCA
RNAcentral lists this ribosomal RNA (496 nucleotides) under uncultured eukaryote. RNAcentral's name for it is "SSU rRNA". It matches the Rfam family "Eukaryotic small subunit ribosomal RNA", at positions 587 to 972 of the family's 1831-position model. The record is from RNAcentral.